AAGUCGUAACAAGGUUUCCGUAGGUGAACCUGCGGAAGGAUCAUUAACACGUAUCCAAACGUUAAAACCCCCCCCGUGAACCUUCAUCCUGCUCUUGUAACCCGCGUAGUUCGCAAUAUCUGAUAAAUCAGAGACCUUUGGCUACGUGCGAACAUUGGAACAGUUACAAUCGAGCGGUAGUUCUAUAGGCAAUGUUUCUCCAAGCAGUCAGUGUCGGAAAGUGUCAUUGAUUGUGCAAGGAUAGCGCUUCUACGAUUCCUGUAGACCGUACACUCGGGCAGGAGCUUUGCCAAAGGGUCCCCAUGCCCCCUAAUAACCCCUCAAUGUAAUACAUUGGGUAAAAAAACCGAACAACUGUUAACAAUGGAUAUCUUGGUUGUC
This 381-nucleotide unclassified non-coding RNA is filed under the name fungal sp. RNAcentral describes it as "partial internal transcribed spacer region". The stretch from base 1 to 46 matches the Rfam family "Eukaryotic small subunit ribosomal RNA", at positions 1786 to 1831 of the family's 1831-position model. The record is from RNAcentral. Lineage: Eukaryota; Fungi.